AAAAAAAGAGUAUGAAGUAAAAAACAAAAUUGUUUCUGUUGUACUUCAUGCCAAUUAAAAAUGUUAUUUCUAGUAGCUACAAUAUUAGGCAUGGCUUGUCUAUACUCAAGAAUUUUUAGAUAUUUAUGAUAACUCAACAUAUCUUUGGAAGCUAAGGUUCUCCAUACAGUGGUUACGCUGUCCUUAUUACCUAGCCCUAAACACCCAGAGGAAAAGGCCUGAGCCCCAAAGAGAUGAAACCCAUUACCGUGGCAGCAAAAACGUGACAACAGCGGGUUUGCAGGGAAGAUGAGUCACACCAGUGCACACUCACGUCACCGUGCUGCCUGCGCAGUGAGCACAGCACUGACGGUGAGCCGAGGCCCUGAACAAGCCUCAGAUCCCUUGUAACAGGAAACAAGGCAAGGUCAGGGAAGACAUCGGGACGGCCUUUUGCUUAAAUAAUACGUAUGUACAGCUCCGCCAUCUACUGAAAAUAAUUCAGUGCAUAGAUUCCUUUAAAUUAGCAACUUUUGCUUUUACCUUGAAAAAACAGAACACUGCACACGUGAAAAGGUCUAGGCUCACGCUGCUCCUGUCUCCGUGGGAUCUACAGCCUGCAGUCCAAGGCUCAACGACAACACAAAGCUCCUCUGUGCUUUCACGGAGCUGGGGCGGCAACGACUACUCAGAGUCCAGCCCAGCGCUCCACCUCCCACCUAAGCGCGUGUCCACCGCACGCUCACCCUACCGCCCUUCUCCACACUGAGCCUGUGACACAGAACAUGCCGGGGUCAAGGAAACCUCCUUCCCCUUGUACAGACGCGGCGCUCAGGCUGACUGAAUCGAUCCCUAACAUAACCACAAGCCAGUAACCGCCUUCUACCUGGCAACACGCAGAACACCGGGAGAAAUACAAACUACGUGGCACACGGAAAGCGCUCAAGUACCCGAGAGACGAGUUCACCUCGUGAAUGCAGCGCAAGGCACUGGUCCUCUGCAGGUCAGCCUCAGCACCGUGUGAGCGCAAGAGCCUCACAGAGCUCCUCGCUCGGGGGUCAGACUAGGGAGCAGCCGCCGCAUCUCGAGCCCCAGGCCCUCAUCCUGUCUCCACCUGAGAAGCAGCUUUACCUCAGGGCAGGGGUGGUGAACCUGUGACGUGGGUGCUACUAGUUUUUCUUUUAGGACAAAAGAUGUUAAUUAAUGUCUGAGUUGUUUUUGCUAAACUAGUCAGUUUCCAGGUGCCUUUUGCUAAGUAAGUGGGUUGGGCUGCAGUUUGGUGCUGGUCUCUAAAGGUGAGCGGUCCCUCUGUGCGGUUUGCCAUUACCUACACAAGCUUCACUGAUAAAACAGAUGAGGUGUGACGUAAAAUGCACCAAGGGUUAAGAAGGCGGUGGGCAGGCCAAGUGCUGUGAUCAGUAAGUACAGCAUUCCACAGGACAGAGGCAGUCAGGAAAGCUUUCUGCAGGAGAUACAAACCUGCUUUUCAAGAUACACAGAGCUCAGCCGGGAGGGGUGGCGCACACCUGUGAGCCCAGGGAGAAGGCUGAGGCAGGAGGAUCAAAUGUGCAGUGCCAGCUGGGCUAGGUAGUGAGUUUAAGGCCAGCCUGAACUUCAGGUUAAUGAGACAUUAGGAACAAAGGUAUAGAGAAAAAGAAAUCCACAUGACGUAAUCACAGAAGUCUGAAGAGGUUUUUGAAAACCAAAGGAAAUGUUUAAGAAUUAAAGCACUAGCAAACAAAAACAUUUUAGGGAAAAAAAGUUCAUAAAAUCAAGUAACUGGUAUCUUUAAACUUGUAAAAAAAAAUAAAUAAAUAAAAAUUAAAAAAUAAAAAAUAAAAAGAGCACAAGUAACCACUAACUGCACAUGUUCUAUGUUCUAGGAUCUGGCAUUCCUCUGUAUACCAGUCUAGCAAGAAACGUUGCUUCUCCACUGCAAAGACCUGGAAGGCAAAAGCUCCUGGCACCUGUGGCUGACCAGCAAACAAGGCGGGAGCGCGUGAGAGCGUGAGUGAGGCACCCUGAGCAGACUUACUAGUAACACACAAGCACCCCGGGUUGCCCAGACGAGGGACAGCAGUAGUAUCGUUCUCCGGAUAGACGAAGUCUCCUUGGGACAUUCAAAAUGACUAACAUUCUUAUGAAGGGAAAAACGCAAAGACAUUUGAAAAUUGUAGGAUUUUUUACGAAGUCACAAUGUUUUUCCAACUUAUGGGCAACUUCACUUACUAGAGAAGACCACUGUACAAGGUAAGAAUGGAGGAGCAGACCUAAUGCAAGACACACCACGGGGUAACCAGAACACCAAACUAGAGGUGCUCAAAAAGCAGACCCAAAGCCCAGCACAGGCAUUAAUUUUACUGGGUCCCUGAGCAAAAACUUCCUAAAGUUAUCUACUUUCAAGGGGAGCUCAACUAAAUGCUCCCUUCUCGCCAGGCCUGGCCCGAGUGAACGGUGCACAUGCAGGCUCUGUGGUGUGACGAGGGGGCGGUUCAGAGCGAGGAAGGAGCACAGUGGUGGGUGGAGGGACACUCGCUGACUUCCCGGUGAGCACACAAGCACCCAGUCACUGCGACAUGCACAGCAAGGGUGCAAAGGACAACAGAUGGGGUGGGACACACACAGCGUGUGAGGGGCAGCACUCCGUGAGCAACACCUCCAACCACCACAGCACCUUCCACAGGACAGAGAACAUCCAUGAAAAUAAACGCCAGCUACAGCGAACAUGGACCUGCUGACACCUGCAGCACACGAGACUGCCGCAGGCCCAGUCAGCAUCACGUUCGCUUUCUGGCUGGUCAUUUGUGAUGUACUUCCUUCUCAGCCAAAAAACCUCCUGGCAUAGCUAUCAUUUUUGAUUUGAUGAAACAAGGUCUCCCUAUGCAGUUCAGGCUGGCCUUGAACUCACUAUGUAAUCCAGGCUGGCCUUAAACUCGCAGCAAUCCUCCUGCCUCAGCCUCCCAAGGGCUAGGAUUACCAGUAUGAGCCACCACGCUUGGAGGGUUUAGUUAUCUUUAAAAGGCAGAACAAGUUUAUCACUUUGAUCGUUAAACAGUAAUUUUCUUUUUCCAUUUUAAGGUCUUACAUUAAUCUGAGUUCUGUAUAUUAUGUACAAAAGUUAAAUGGAAUGGGCAGAUUAAAAAACUACCAAUAUUCUGCGUGAUGGCACCCUGUCCAGUAACGACUACACCAACUGUCUGUAGCUGUUCCCCAACCUUUGUCUCAGAUUUUAAAGGCCUGGACAGACUAUUUGUAGCUUUACGUCCCAUCCAACUGCAGCAGUCGUUUAUCGUACUUCUCGGUGGUGGAAGUUAAUGAAGCUGGCCGUAUGCUCUAAGUCCUAGCACUUAACCACAUAUUUCAAUGUACUGAAGUUAAAUUCAAGGACUCAGGAGGUCAAAGCAGUGGGCCUCGGCACCUUAACCUGAGUAACGA
Molecule: long non-coding RNA, 3414 nt
Organism: Chinchilla lanigera (long-tailed chinchilla)
Lineage: Eukaryota; Metazoa; Chordata; Mammalia; Rodentia; Chinchillidae
Exons: 3
Source: RefSeq, a predicted model, not a curated record